CCCUUAGAUGUUCUGGGCCGCACGCGCGCUACACUGACGAAUGCAACGAGCUUAUAACCUUGGCCGAAAGGUCUGGGUAAUCUCCAAAUUUCGUCGUGAUGGGGAUAGAUUAUUGCAAUUAUUAAUCUUCAACGAGGAAUGCCUAGUAGGCGCAAGUCAUCAGCUUGCGUUGAUUACGUCCCUGCCCUUUGUACACACCGCCCGUCGCUCCUACCGAUUGAAUGGUCCGGUGAAGCGCUCGGACCGCGGCCUCUUGACGGUUCGCUGUCGAUUGGCUGUGGGAAGUUCGUUAAACCUUAUCAUUUAGAGGAAGGAGAAGUCGUAACA
This 327-nucleotide ribosomal RNA is filed under the name uncultured eukaryote. Its description in RNAcentral is "partial 18S ribosomal RNA". It matches the Rfam family "Eukaryotic small subunit ribosomal RNA", at positions 1470 to 1796 of the family's 1831-position model. The record is from RNAcentral.